Molecule: transfer RNA, 118 nt
Organism: Baudoinia panamericana
Lineage: Eukaryota; Fungi; Ascomycota; Dothideomycetes; Mycosphaerellales; Teratosphaeriaceae
Rfam family: tRNA
About the family: Transfer RNA (tRNA) molecules are approximately 80 nucleotides in length. Their secondary structure includes four short double-helical elements and three loops (D, anti-codon, and T loops).
Source: Rfam
GCCCGGAUAGUUUAACGGUUAGAACAUGGGUCUCAUACUUCGGUAUGAUGGAGCAAAGCUCUUCGACCCCACUGAUCAACGUGAUCCCAAGAUCUGAGUUCGAUUCUCAGUCCAGGCA